UGACCGCUGGCGGCGUGCCUAAUACAUGCAAGUCGAGCGAACGGACGAGAAGCUUGCUUCUCUGAUGUUAGCGGCGGACGGGUGAGUAACACGUGGAUAACCUACCUAUAAGACUGGGAUAACUUCGGGAAACCGGAGCUAAUACCGGAUAAUAUUUUGAACCGCAUGGUUCAAAAGUGAAAGACGGCCUUGCUGUCACUUAUAGAUGGAUCCGCGCUGCAUUAGCUAGUUGGUAAGGUAACGGCUUACCAAGGCAACGAUGCAUAGCCGACCUGAGAGGGUGAUCGGCCACACUGGAACUGAGACACGGUCCAGACUCCUACGGGAGGCAGCAGUAGGGAAUCUUCCGCAAUGGGCGAAAGCCUGACGGAGCAACGCCGCGUGAGUGAUGAAGGUCUUCGGAUCGUAAAACUCUGUUAUUAGGGAAGAACAUAUGUGUAAGUAACUGUGCACAUCUUGACGGUACCUAAUCAGAAAGCCACGGCUAACUACGUG
RNAcentral lists this ribosomal RNA (495 nucleotides) under uncultured bacterium. RNAcentral's name for it is "partial 16S ribosomal RNA". It matches the Rfam family "Bacterial small subunit ribosomal RNA", at positions 30 to 507 of the family's 1533-position model. The record is from RNAcentral.